GUAAGUUUAAACAAGAUAUUGCUUUUGAUUACUUCUGCUGAGCUGCUUAGGAAGUUAGCUAAAGUGACGAAGAUGUGUCAUCACAGCAGGAUAAAUGUAAAAAAAAGCAAGUUCUGCAGCAAAAUCAUUGUUCCAUCGCUAUAUAUAUUCAGCACUAUAACUGCACAUGUCACAAAACUUUGCUUGAAUCAUACCGCCCUCAAGAUAUAUUGUUUACAAAUAACUCCCUCUGGUGCAGGAUUAAUCCCUUCAAUAUUGCUACUGAUACUGUUGGCUACACAUUCUCAGAGGUUAUAGCUACCACAGAAAUACAACUUACCUUUGUUAGCAGUCUUGCUAGGAUGAAAAA
Long non-coding RNA from Daphnia carinata, 349 nucleotides. RefSeq lists it as uncharacterized. The transcript has 2 exons. Lineage: Eukaryota; Metazoa; Arthropoda; Branchiopoda; Diplostraca; Daphniidae. The record is from RefSeq and is a predicted model, not a curated record.